CAGGCAGCAGAACCCAGCGGGCAUGAGAUCCUUCCUUGCUGACCAUGGCCCUUCUGUAUCUUCUGCAG
This 68-nucleotide microRNA precursor is filed under the name Mus caroli (Ryukyu mouse). Its description in RNAcentral is "microRNA 6899 (MGP_CAROLIEiJ_G0006941.1)". Lineage: Eukaryota; Metazoa; Chordata; Mammalia; Rodentia; Muridae. The record is from RNAcentral.